AUUGAACGCUGGCGGCAGGCUUAACACAUGCAAGUCGAGCGGAGAUGAGGUGCUUGCACCUUAUCUUAGCGGCGGACGGGUGAGUAAUGCUUAGGAAUCUGCCUAUUAGUGGGGGACAACAUUUCGAAAGGAAUGCUAAUACCGCAUACGUCCUACGGGAGAAAGCAGGGGAUCUUCGGACCUUGCGCUAAUAGAUGAGCCUAAGUCGGAUUAGCUAGUUGGUGGGGUAAAGGCCUACCAAGGCGACGAUCUGUAGCGGGUCUGAGAGGAUGAUCCGCCACACUGGGACUGAGACACGGCCCAGACUCCUACGGGAGGCAGCAGUGGGGAAUAUUGGACAAUGGGGGGAAACCCCUGAUCCAGCCAUGCCGCGUGUGUGAAAGAAGGGCCCUUAAUGGUUGUAAAAGUACCU
This 412-nucleotide ribosomal RNA is filed under the name Acinetobacter sp. oral taxon C57. Its description in RNAcentral is "bacterial SSU rRNA". It matches the Rfam family "Bacterial small subunit ribosomal RNA", at positions 30 to 435 of the family's 1533-position model. The record is from RNAcentral. Lineage: Bacteria; Pseudomonadati; Pseudomonadota; Gammaproteobacteria; Moraxellales; Moraxellaceae.